CGAACGCUGGCGGCGUGCUUAACACAUGCAAGUCGAACGCGAAAGAGUUCUUCGGAACUCGAGUAGAGUGGCGCACGGGUGAGUAACGCGUAAAUAAUCUACCCUGAUGUCUGGGAUAACCAGCCGAAAGGCUGACUAAUACCGGCUAUAUGAUUUUUUGUAGGGAAGAUCAGGAAAGGUGGCCUCUAUUUAUAAGCUAUCGCAUUGGGAUGAGUUUGCGUACCAUUAGCUAGUUGGUGGGGUAAUGGCCUACCAAGGCUACGAUGGUUAGCGGGUCUGAGAGGAUGAUCCGUCACACUGGCACUGGAACACGGGCCAGACUCCUACGGGAGGCAGCAGUGAGGAAUAUUGCGCAAUGGGGGAAACCCUGACGCAGCGACGCCGCGUGAGUGAGGAAGGCCUUCGGGUCGUAAAGCUCUGUCAGAUGGGAAGAAGUGUAAUGUAGUUAAUACCUGCAUUAUUUGACGGUACCAUCAAAGGAAGCACCGGCUAACUCC
RNAcentral lists this ribosomal RNA (497 nucleotides) under uncultured bacterium. RNAcentral describes it as "bacterial SSU rRNA". It matches the Rfam family "Bacterial small subunit ribosomal RNA", at positions 30 to 504 of the family's 1533-position model. The record is from RNAcentral.